RNAcentral lists this ribosomal RNA (109 nucleotides) under Acanthosepion pharaonis. Lineage: Eukaryota; Metazoa; Mollusca; Cephalopoda; Sepiida; Sepiidae. The record is from RNAcentral.
CGGAUAUAUCACGUUGAAACACUGGUCCUGAUCUGAUCAUCAAAGUUAAGCAAUGUUGAGUCUGAUCAGUACCUAGAUGGGUGACCACUUGGGAAUAUCAGGUGCUAUA